This is a small nucleolar RNA of Pyrus x bretschneideri (Chinese white pear), 212 nucleotides long. RefSeq annotates it as small nucleolar RNA U3. The record is from RefSeq and is a predicted model, not a curated record. The transcript has a single exon. Lineage: Eukaryota; Viridiplantae; Streptophyta; Magnoliopsida; Rosales; Rosaceae.
ACGACCUUACUUGAACAGGAUCUGUUCUAUAGGAUCGUACCUCUGUAUCCUUGAUUUCUAAGGAGACAGAAACCUCAACCUGGUGGAUGAAACAUGACCGUGCGAUCAGAGCGUGAUUAAUAGCUUGUGGUUCUCCGGUUCCAACAAGCGGUAGAUGAUCGUUCUCAGCCAGUUUCACUGUCUGGGAUGGUCGCACGGUUGUCUGACAGGUU